RNAcentral lists this unclassified non-coding RNA (405 nucleotides) under soil metagenome. Its description in RNAcentral is "partial contains 5.8S ribosomal RNA, internal transcribed spacer 2, and large subunit ribosomal RNA". The stretch from base 1 to 121 matches the Rfam family "5.8S ribosomal RNA", at positions 35 to 154 of the family's 154-position model. The record is from RNAcentral.
GAUGAAGAACGCAGCGAAAUGCGAUAAGUAAUGUGAAUUGCAGAAUUCAGUGAAUCAUCGAAUCUUUGAACGCACCUUGCGCCCUUUGGCCAUUCCGAAGGGCAUGCCUGUUUGAGUAUCAUGAACACCUCAACUCUUUAUGGUUUUCCAUGAUGAGCUUGGACUCUGGGGGUUUUGCUGGCUCACAGUCGGCUCCUCUAAAAUGAAUCAGCUUACCAGUGUUUGGUGGGUAUCAUGGGUGUGAUAACUAUCUACGCUUGUGGUUUUUCCACCAGGUAACCUUCAGCAGUGGAGGUUCGCUGGAGCUCAUAGAUGACUCUCCUCAGUGAGGACAGCCCUUUGAAUGUUUGAUCUCAAAUCAGGUAGGACUACCCGCUGAACUUAAGCAUAUCAAUAAGCGGAGGA